GGUCAAGUGAAUAAGUGCAUCAGGCGGAUGCCUUGGCGAUGAUAGGCGACGAAGGACGUGUAAGCCUGCGAAAAGCGCGGGGGAGCUGGCAAUAAAGCUAUGAUUCCGCGAUGUCCGAAUGGGGAAACCCACUGCAUUCUGUGCAGUAUCCUAAGUUGAAUACAUAGGCUUAGAGAAGCGAACCCGGAGAACUGAACCAUCUAAGUACCCGGAGGAAAAGAAAUCAACCGAGAUUCCGCAAGUAGUGGCGAGCGAACGCGGAGGAGCCUGUACGUAAUAACUGUCGAGAUAGAAGAACAAGCUGGGAAGCUUGACCAUAGCGGGUGACAGUCCCGUAUUCGAAAUCUCAACAGCGGUACUAAGCGUACGAAAAGUAGGGCGGGACACGUGAAAUCCUGUCUGAAUAUGGGGGGACCAUCCUCCAAGGCUAAAUACUCAUCAUCGACCGAUAGUGAACCAGUACCGUGAGGGAAAGGCGAAAAGAACCCCGGGAGGGGAGUGAAACAGAACCUGAAACCUGAUGCAUACAAACAGUGGGAGCGCCCUAGUGGUGUGACUGCGUACCUUUUGUAUAAUGGGUCAACGACUUACAUUCAGUAGCGAGCUUAACCGGAUAGGGGAGGCGUAGGGAAACCGAGUCUUAAUAGGGCGAUGAGUUGCUGGGUGCAGACCCGAAACCGAGUGAUCUAUCCAUGGUCAGGUUGAAGGUGCCGUAACAGGUACUGGAGGACCGAACCCACGCAUGUUGCAAAAUGCGGGGAUGAGCUGUGGGUAGGGGUGAAAGGCUAAACAAACUCGGAGAUAGCUGGUUCUCCCCGAAAACUAUUUAGGUAGUGCCUCGAGCAAGACACUGAUGGGGGUAAAGCACUGUUAUGGCUAGGGGGUUAUUGCAACUUACCAACCCAUGGCAAACUCAGAAUACCAUCAAGUGGUUCCUCGGGAGACAGACAGCGGGUGCUAACGUCCGUUGUCAAGAGGGAAACAACCCAGACCGCCGGCUAAGGUCCCAAAUGAUAGAUUAAGUGGUAAACGAAGUGGGAAGGCACAGACAGCCAGGAUGUUGGCUUAGAAGCAGCCAUCAUUUAAAGAAAGCGUAAUAGCUCACUGGUCGAGUCGUCCUGCGCGGAAGAUGUAACGGGGCUCAAAUCUAUAACCGAAGCUGCGGAUGCCGGUUUACCGGCAUGGUAGGGGAGCGUUCUGUAGGCUGAUGAAGGUGCAUUGUAAAGUGUGCUGGAGGUAUCAGAAGUGCGAAUGUUGACAUGAGUAGCGAUAAAGCGGGUGAAAAGCCCGCUCGCCGAAAGCCCAAGGUUUCCUACGCAACGUUCAUCGGCGUAGGGUAAGUCGGCCCCUAAGGCGAGGCAGAAAUGCGUAGUCGAUGGGAAACAGGUUAAUAUUCCUGUACUUGAUUCAAAUGCGAUGUGGGGACGGAGAAGGUUAGGUUGGCAAGCUGUUGGAAUAGCUUGUUUAAGCCGGUAGGUGGAAGACUUAGGCAAAUCCGGGUUUUCUUAACACCGAGAAGUGAUGACGAGUGUCUACGGACACGAAGCAACCGAUACCACGCUUCCAGGAAAAGCCACUAAGCUUCAGUUUGAAUCGAACCGUACCGCAAACCGACACAGGUGGGCAGGAUGAGAAUUCUAAGGCGCUUGAGAGAACUCGGGAGAAGGAACUCGGCAAAUUGAUACCGUAACUUCGGGAGAAGGUAUGCCCUCUAAGGUUAAGGACUUGCUCCGUAAGCCCCGGAGGGUCGCAGAGAAUAGGUGGCUGCGACUGUUUAUUAAAAACACAGCACUCUGCCAACACGAAAGUGGACGUAUAGGGUGUGACGCCUGCCCGGUGCCGGAAGGUUAAUUGAAGAUGUGCAAGCAUCGGAUCGAAGCCCCGGUAAACGGCGGCCGUAACUAUAACGGUCCUAAGGUAGCGAAAUUCCUUGUCGGGUAAGUUCCGACCCGCACGAAUGGCGUAACGAUGGCCACACUGUCUCCUCCCGAGACUCAGCGAAGUUGAAGUGGUUGUGAAGAUGCAAUCUACCCGCUGCUAGACGGAAAGACCCCGUGAACCUUUACUGUAGCUUUGCAUUGGACUUUGAAGUCACUUGUGUAGGAUAGGUGGGAGGCUUGGAAGCAGAGACGCCAGUCUCUGUGGAGUCGUCCUUGAAAUACCACCCUGGUGUCUUUGAGGUUCUAACCCAGACCCGUCAUCCGGGUCGGGGACCGUGCAUGGUAGGCAGUUUGACUGGGGCGGUCUCCUCCCAAAGCGUAACGGAGGAGUUCGAAGGUUACCUAGGUCCGGUCGGAAAUCGGACUGAUAGUGCAAUGGCAAAAGGUAGCUUAACUGCGAGACCGACAAGUCGGGCAGGUGCGAAAGCAGGACAUAGUGAUCCGGUGGUUCUGUAUGGAAGGGCCAUCGCUCAACGGAUAAAAGGUACUCCGGGGAUAACAGGCUGAUUCCGCCCAAGAGUUCAUAUCGACGGCGGAGUUUGGCACCUCGAUGUCGGCUCAUCACAUCCUGGGGCUGUAGUCGGUCCCAAGGGUAUGGCUGUUCGCCAUUUAAAGUGGUACGUGAGCUGGGUUUAAAACGUCGUGAGACAGUUUGGUCUCUAUCUGCAGUGGGCGUUGGAAGUUUGACGGGGGCUGCUCCUAGUACGAGAGGACCGGAGUGGACGAACCUCUGGUGUACCGGUUGUAACGCCAGUUGCAUAGCCGGGUAGCUAAGUUCGGAAGAGAUAAGCGCUGAAAGCAUCUAAGCGCGAAACUCGCCUGAAGAUGAGACUUCCCUUGCGGUUUAACCGCACUAAAGGGUCGUUCGAGACCAGGACGUUGAUAGGUGGGGUGUGGAAGCGCGGUAACGCGUGAAGCUAACCCAUACUAAUUGCCCGUGAGGCUUGACUCU
This 2892-nucleotide ribosomal RNA is filed under the name Neisseria gonorrhoeae. RNAcentral describes it as "23S ribosomal RNA". It matches the Rfam family "Bacterial large subunit ribosomal RNA". The record is from RNAcentral. Lineage: Bacteria; Pseudomonadati; Pseudomonadota; Betaproteobacteria; Neisseriales; Neisseriaceae.